ACGUUAGCGGCGGACGGGUGAGUAACACGUGGGUAACCUACCUAUAAGACUGGGAUAACUUCGGGAAACCGGAGCUAAUACCGGAUAAUAUUUCGAACCGCAUGGUUCGAUAGUGAAAGGUGGUUUUGCUAUCGCUUAUAGAUGGACCCGCGCCGUAUUAGCUAGUUGGUAAGGUAACGGCUUACCAAGGCGACGAUACGUAGCCGACCUGAGAGGGUGAUCGGCCACACUGGAACUGAGACACGGUCCAGACUCCUACGGGAGGCAGCAGAU
Molecule: ribosomal RNA, 273 nt
Filed under: uncultured Staphylococcus sp.
Lineage: Bacteria; Bacillati; Bacillota; Bacilli; Caryophanales; Staphylococcaceae
Description: partial 16S ribosomal RNA
Rfam family: Bacterial small subunit ribosomal RNA
Source: RNAcentral